GCCCAUAUAGCUCAGCCGGUAGAGCGCAUCCUUGGUAAGGAUGAGGUCACCAGUUCGAAUCUGGUUAUGGGCUCCA
RNAcentral lists this transfer RNA (76 nucleotides) under Gammaproteobacteria bacterium. RNAcentral describes it as "tRNA-Thr". It matches the Rfam family "tRNA". Rfam says of the family: Transfer RNA (tRNA) molecules are approximately 80 nucleotides in length. Their secondary structure includes four short double-helical elements and three loops (D, anti-codon, and T loops). RNAcentral also lists the same sequence under 1 other name. Lineage: Bacteria; Pseudomonadati; Pseudomonadota; Gammaproteobacteria. The record is from RNAcentral.